CUCUGAAAGAGAGGGGAGAGGACUGAAUGCAAGUCUUUUGGAAAGGGAAUUUCUCCGGCCGCUACCCUCACACUAUCCGAACUCUCUUCACCCUUAUGCAAAUUGAUUAGUUGAGGUCUGCAAGUAAUCGAACGGCAUCUUGUGUGGGUUCCGCAAUUGGCAUGAGAUGACCUCUAUAUGGGGACUUAUGAUAUGUGCUGCGCUUUCUGGUGGACAAUAAGGACUGUUUGAAGGACUUAUCAUAAGAGAUGACCUCUAAAUGGUUUCACCUCAAAUGAGCCUCUGGAAACCUGAUGCAUCAAAGUUUCAAGUGAUCAGUAAGAUGGUUAUUAAGAGUAUGGAAUAUUUCUAGAGUGUGGAGAUCUGAACUAGUAGUGGUACUUAUGUUUUUCUCUCACAGGGUAGCAUGAUGUCUGGGAAAUUCAUAUUGGUUGUAGCGUAAAAUGAGAAAUCCCCUUUUUUAGCACUAAUGCACUUAGGUGAUGAGAAAGGGAUAUGUAAUUUACUUGUCAGCUGUAAUUACUUGAGAUCAGUCCUUAUGAAUCAAAGUUAAAUUACUUGAAUAA
Molecule: long non-coding RNA, 566 nt
Organism: Macadamia integrifolia
Lineage: Eukaryota; Viridiplantae; Streptophyta; Magnoliopsida; Proteales; Proteaceae
Exons: 2
Source: RefSeq, a predicted model, not a curated record